This 82-nucleotide transfer RNA is filed under the name Fusarium culmorum. It matches the Rfam family "tRNA". Rfam says of the family: Transfer RNA (tRNA) molecules are approximately 80 nucleotides in length. Their secondary structure includes four short double-helical elements and three loops (D, anti-codon, and T loops). RNAcentral also lists the same sequence under 1 other name. Lineage: Eukaryota; Fungi; Ascomycota; Sordariomycetes; Hypocreales; Nectriaceae. The record is from Rfam by way of RNAcentral.
GCGUAAUUGGUUUAGUGGUAAAAUUCUCCGUUGCCAUUCGAGCGAUAUCGGGGAGCCCUGGGUUCGAUUCCCAGAUUACGCA